RNAcentral lists this ribosomal RNA (253 nucleotides) under uncultured bacterium. Its description in RNAcentral is "partial 16S ribosomal RNA". It matches the Rfam family "Bacterial small subunit ribosomal RNA", at positions 524 to 776 of the family's 1533-position model. The record is from RNAcentral.
UACAGAGGUCUCAAGCGUUGUUCGGAUUCAUUGGGCGUAAAGGGUGCGUAGGCGGCGCGGUAAGUCGGGUGUGAAAUCUCGGAGCUUAACUCCGAAACUGCAUUCGAUACUGCCGUGCUUGAGGACUUGAGAGGAGACUGGAAUUUACGGUGUAGCGGUGAAAUGCGUAGAUAUCGUAAGGAAGACCAGUGGCGAAGGCGGGUCUCUGGACAGUUCCUGACGCUGAGGCACGAAGGUCAGGGGAGCAAACGGG